RNAcentral lists this long non-coding RNA (259 nucleotides) under Gossypium barbadense (sea-island cotton). RNAcentral's name for it is "long non-coding RNA (GBAR_LNC017481)". Lineage: Eukaryota; Viridiplantae; Streptophyta; Magnoliopsida; Malvales; Malvaceae. The record is from RNAcentral.
CUGGUUUCACAUAAAAAUUUCUGAAACUUUAAGAAUUUUCUAAGUAACAAAAGUCUCACGUUCGUGUAAACAGCCAUGUGGACGAAUAUAAACCAUUUGCAAGGCCAAUUUGCCAACCAUAAGGGUCAACCCUACACAAGCACAUUCCAAUUAUAAGGCCAUCUACAUAUCAAACCUCACAUUAUAAACAAGCCAAAUCUCAUGGCUCAAUACAUUUCAAACAUAUAGGCACCAAUAGCCAAAAUCACUUAUACACUUA